UGAGAGUGUCUCUUUAAGUAUUCUAGUCAUGGUUUCCAAUGUCUGUUAAAAAUAUAUGCAUUUCUUGAUUGUUAUAUAAGAUCACAUAUAGCAAUUAAAAAUAUAUCUAAAUAGGUAUUGUGAAAAUUAACAAUUGAAAUGUAAUUAGGUUGUCGGAACUCAUUGAACUAAUGGAUGGAAUCAAAGAUGGCCAAGAUUCAAGAAUAAAUAGUAUUUUGGUAGCAAUGAUAUGACAAAUGAACAAAGAAAGAGUAUAUUCAUAAUAUCAUUAAACAACUAUCAUGGCUUUUGACAUGGAAAGUCGAAAAUGCAGUCCCUCACCUUUAUGCCAUGUGGAGUGUACGUGGGGUUGUAAACACCGCUGUCUAGUAUGAGGUUCACAUUGUGUAUCAAGGGGUCGUCAAGUUAUAGCUCCAGUAUUAUGUAGUGGUGGAGAAAUUUCUUUAAGUUGUCGAAACUUACUAGAAACACAAAGCAUAAACUAGCUUAGAAUAGAGAGUUGCUAAGACCUACUUAAAAUGCUGGAGAAAUUUCUCCAUUCAAUGCAUCAUGCUGUAAGAAAAUUGCUUCCUCACAAAUUUGGAAUUAUUUAAAAACUCUUCCAUGGCCGGUUAGCCCUUAAAUAGGAAUUAUCAAAAAAUAAAAUUUGCAUUGCAAUUUUGGUUACUUAUUUAGUUUAACCAGUCUACAGUAUGCGAUCAAUUAGACAAUUGAAUUGUGGGAAUGCACUGGUAGCAUGUGGCACAUGUGGCACAUUCUUGCAGUGAUUUGAACAUUUACAAUUACUCACCGUGGUGUGUAAGCUAGUGAAGAGCUUACUAGAUUCCACUGUUCUGUAAACAUAAUAAAAAUGCUUUAUUGGAUAUUGUUAUUUUAUUUUGUCUUGAUGUAAAGUGCUUUGAUAAUACAUGAUUGACUAGUAUACUGAUCUUUAAUAUUGACUAAUAAACAUAGUAACAUGGUCAUAAUUUCCUUUUGGAAUGAGACUCAAUGAUGAUAUGAAGUCCUGAAUUAAAGCCAUAUUGCUGGGAUUGAUUUUUAUUUUUCUAUUUUAAUUUAAUUUCAAAGGCUAUUAAAGAAGAGCAAAAGGAACCUAUUCCAAAGGUAGGACAGACAGAAAGCAAGGUCAGUAUUUUCCUUCUUCGACUGUUAAUUUUGUUAUAAUUAAUUUUUAUGAUACUUUUAUGCCAAGAAUUUCUUUGGGCUUUGCACACCAGCACACAUGGAUACAUGUAUUCAUAAACAUGGCUCUCUUUCAUCCUAAGAGGACGCUAUAAUUACAUAUAUAUUUUCAAGUUGCUUUUAUAGACUUCUAAUUGAAGUAGUAUUCUGUAGUUAUUGUAUUGUUGAUUUUGGAAUUUCUUAUGAAGGUUGAUAAGAAGGAAAAGGAGGUGAGUGUUUUCCUUCGUUGGCUGUUUAUUAUUGCUUCGGCUUACCUCUGUUCCGUCUAUUUUGAUUUCUUAAUUCGAUAGUCAGUGCCAGUGAAACGGAUUCACUUUGGUCUAUUGUUUUCUCAAGCACGUGAACAAAUUAGCAUUCAAAAUGGUUCUGGGGUUUUUCAUCAUAUUUUCUCAUUGAUGUUAUAAAUUCUGACUGGAUAAAUCAUUAUUUCUCUUGAUUUUUUUUUCCUUUUCAGGCUGUUGAUGAAAUGCAAAAUGGAACUCUUUCAGAAAGGGUGGAGCCGAAAGAAUCCAAGGUUACAAUUUUUGUUUUCAAACCUCUUCUUUUCCCCUUUUUUCUGUUUAGUAUAAACUAUGAACCAACACCUAUGUUAAUAUGAUCGUACUACCCUUUCCUUCCCUUUCCUAAAAGGAAAGUGCAAUCAUUUGUCAAUUCUAGAAUUGAUGCUUAAUGACCUCUGAGUUAAAGUAAUUCUGCAUUCAUGAUUGACUUUUGUACUUCUUGUUACAGUUUGUUGAGAAGAGAGAAGGUUCUCCUUCAAAAAUGGUGGAUCAGACAGAACGUAAGGUCAGCAUUUUUUUGGCUAGAAUCUAAUAUACUGCUAUUGAGGAUUUCAUAGUCUUAUCCUGAAAGCCUUAGAGUCAGUUAGUUCUGCUUUGCAGCCCGUUUGUUUCCAAGUUAUAAACGAUUCUGACUAUGUAUAAAUUGUCCGUCCACUUAUUGUUGCAUUUAUUAAAGGAUUAUAGGCAAGGUCUGCGGAACCGUUAUGAACCGCCCGGUUUGAGGUGUCCUAGGCCAUAUCGGCGGUGGACCGGAAUGGUUCAGCCAUUGAUACCGAGACAGCUCGCCGGAGGGAAAGAAGGAGAAGAGGAAGAGAGAGAGAGAGAGCAGGGAAGGGAGGAAGAGGAAGAGGAAGCAAGAGAGGCCGGCCGACGGAGGCCGGGGAGCCUUCACGUAGAGGAGGCGGAGGCCGGGGAGACGCGGAGGCGGGGCUCUGCCUCCGGGCCCUUGUUUCGAAUGUUAUGUUCGAAACAGGGGCCCCGAAGGGGGGGCCCUUUUAUUUUUGCUUUUUUUAAGUUGAAGUCAGCAAAAUUAAGUGAAGUCGGCCUCCUCCGUGCGGAGUCUCCCCAGGCUUCAUUGGUCAGCCCUGACUCCCUCUCUCUUCCCUGGUCUUCCUCUCCCUCCCUCCCCCGCUCUCUCUCUUUUCCUUUCUCGUUCUCUCUCUCUUCCAUUGUAGAAGAUGUGUCGGUAUGAGCCCGGCACGACACAAUGCGGGCCCAUGUUGGCUCGUCCCGCCAGCCAACCAGUACGGUGCCCGAUACCAGUUCCGCUGUCCUUGAUUGCAGGAGUAAGUUUUGGCAUGCUAUGAUGCAGUGGCUUAUUAAAGAAUAAAUAUGUUAUUCAAGAACAAUACUAUUACUUGCUUAUUUUUAAUAAGUGAAUAAAAUUAUGAGAUUUAUAUUCCCUUCCUUUUGUGGUCUCUCAAGAAUAAAAUUAAAAUGGGUGGGUUUGGUUGAGUGGGAUUGAAAUUGGGUGUGUUUAACAGGUGCUGGUUUCAUUGAGACCUGAGAUGUGCCAGCAUCAUAAGACUGCUUGACCUAGAGUCGCUUGACCCAAGUUUAGGUCUAUGAGUUUCUCUUAUCAUAUAAAAAGAUUGAAAGAAUAAAGUAAUAGGCAAGUGACAACAGAGGAAGAGGAAAAAAGAAAGGGGAUGAAGAGGAGAAAACAUGGAGGAAGAGAGUGGCCACACAGGUUUGGCUGUUCUGUACAGCUACCUCUCUAUUUGUGACAAGUGGAGGAAGAAAGACCUCUCUACUUACUGUGACAAAUUACCUAAACAGUUAAUUGGGGCAGUUGGAACCCAUUUAUUGCCCACAUUUUAUUUCCCAAUACAGUCAAGCAAAAGGUUAGGAGAUUCUUUUGAAGAUCUCAUUUUAUUGCCCACCUUGGUUUCCAUAGUCCUCUAUUGGUUCCAUUUCAGUUUAGGCACCAACUCUUUCACCUUCUUUGCCUACUUGCUCCUCACUUAAACCAUUUUAGUUUUACUGCACAUCCAUCUGAACUUGAUGCAAGGAAUACUGAACCGGCCCGUACCGGUCGGUUCAGCCCGUACUGAACCGGUACCGGCUUUGACCGGUCCAGUUCGGCAUUAAAAAUCGGUACCGGUCCGUACUGGUCCAAAACAGCCAACCAUACUGCCCAUACCGGCCUGUACCGGCCCGAACCGGCCAACCGUACCGGUCCGUACCGGUUCUAAAUAUUUUUUGGGUUUUUGGAUGGGUGAACCAGGCCGAACCAGUGGUACCGAUUUGAACCGGUACCGGUUCGGUGACCCUUGAUCUGAUGCAACUUAGACCUAGGAUCUGCUCAUCCAAGAUAAGGUUAAAAUGCAUGGGAAACAACACUAUAAAGUUUGCAUAGGAUAUGUGACUCAUCUGUAUCAUUACUUUGAGAAGAAAACAGGCCUCCGAUUGGCUGUUUAGGCCAUCCAUGGGUGUUAUUGCUGUUGAAAAUUCAUCUUGUUAGUCUUAUAAUCAGGACUUGGAGGGACGUGCAGGCCCAUAUGGUCAUCUGAAGGAUUAUUUGCUAUUUGCAUUGUGUAGUUGCAGCAAAUCAAUCUUAAAGGGACCAAAUUGGUAUUUCAAAAAUUGGUUGGGUUGGAAUUCAGGGAGCAGCUAGAUGGUAUUUUUCUCCUUUUUCUUCUAAUAUGCUUGAAGAUUAAUUUUUUUCUUAUAUGUUUUCUCUCUUUUUUUCUAAGGAGUCCUAAGUGAACUCAACUUGAUAAGUGUAGGUUUGCCCUUGUCAGUAAAAGAGGUUCAAGUCUGGCCACAAAAGGGAUCACGCUUAUUUUUUUCAAAAAGGAAAAAUAAAUAAAAUUCUGAUUUGAUGUACUUUAGUAGUGUUGUCUUGAAAGGAAACUUUAUAAUGCAUUUGGUCCUUUGUGUUAUAGACUUCUGCUUUGCUGCACUUCUGUACUGUUCCUAAAUUUCUUUCUGAAUUUACUGUGAAAGGCUACUGAAGAAAAGGGAAAAGAAACACUUUCUGAAAGGGGUGGGCAAACAGAAUGCAAGGUGAGCGUUUUGCUUGGUUAACAGUUUCUCAUUCAGUAUUUACUUGCCAAUGUUAUUGAAUAUGUUGACAUUGAUCUUCUACAUCUCAAACUUCUAUUUUCUAAAUUCCACUGAAAUCUAGCAUAAUUCCUUAUGCUUCCCCCAGUCACGAUUCUGUUUUGCAUGACUAAGCUACCUUCCAAAAUCUUCAAAUUCUUUAAGUCCUGUCUGUCUGCCAGAUCAAGGACUUUAAAAGUAGGUCCUCAUAUGUGAUGGUACUUGAAAUGAAAAGCUUCUGAAUAAGAAUAUAAGACUACUGUGUUCUUAAACUCUCAAAAAGUUACUAAUUAACAAUGUAUACUUAACACAGAUUUGGGGAACUGUAUUUGUUCAUUAAAAAAAAAUCUCAUCAUUGACAAGCUUGAUAGAGCAGCUCCUCGCAAGAGGGGUGAAGUAUAGCAUGGUAACUGGACUUGGUUUUAUUGGUAUUGAUGGAACCCUAGCUGUCCAUAGAACAUCUAUUCUACUACUAAAUUCCAUGCAUCUUGCAUCCUUCAGGUUCCAAAUGGUGUGUUCCACUUUCAUUCAUAGCAUGUGCCAAAAUCUAGUAUACAAACAGGACUAUUUGAAGUAAACAAUGAAUAUAUCCUUUUAUAUGAUUGUACACUCUAAAGAAGUUCUGAGGAGGUUUGACAUCCAUUUUUUUGUCUGUUAAGGGAGAAAGUACUACUGUUAUAGUUGAAGUUUCUAGCUAAAAUGGUAGGUUGUAUUAAGGUUCGCAAUCUUGGUACUAGAUGCGUAUCGGUACCAUCUAGGUGUAGUGUCAGUAUGCUCAGUAUGGGGUUCAGUUUGGCAUACUGAUACUUGAUAUGCCCCCUAAACAUCAUACUGGUUCAGUUAUGAUAUGCCCGAUAAGCACCAGUAUGGACCAGUACGGCCUACCAUGUGUUGUACGCUCUAUUUUUACUCUUGAUUUAUGACCUUUUCAUCUAUCUCUUGCUUCGAAUUUCAGCAUUCAGCUAUUUUAUGGGCGCUCUCGUAGGAGUGUAUUCCUUGAAAUGCUUGUAAUUCAUCAAUAUUUCCAUAAUCAUGUUAGCCAAAAAAAUAACCUUAUUUUUACACAUAGGAAGUAUACCUUUUGUUUCAAGUUGAUUUGGCCUAUGCUCAUGUCAGAGAAACUUUACAUAGGGUGAAUUUUGGAAGCACACUACUAUUUGUAGGAUGUUUUUUCAUGUUUUACGUAGUUGGUUUGCUGGCUUUUCCAAUUACUCUAACUUGUUUCACAAUUUUCUGAUACAAUUACUCUAACUUGUUUCACAAUUUUCUGAUAUGGGAAAUGGAUGUGUUGAUUUAGUCAUGGUAAAAUCUGCAAGAUUGCUGAUUGUAAUUUGCUUCUCAUGGAAAUAUUCAAGUAAUGCAAGUGCGACAACUUAAAAUUGAAUCUGUAUAGCAAGAGACUGUUGACCUAAAGUUGGCAUAGAUCUUUCUCUGUCAUCUCCUAGUUUUUUAUCCCUAAUUACCUUUCAAAGAAUCUCUCAUCAAUGGUUUCUACUUUCUAAUGACUUUGAGAAUAUUCUUCUGCCAGGUUUGACUUUUUUGGUUGAAUCUCAUUGGCAUAAGAUAGAAGCUAUUUUUUUUCUCCUAGAUUUUUAUCCUUAAUUAUCUUUUUGCAUGAUAUUCCAAAAGACAUUAAUCAAAGGAUCUACCAGCAGUGAUUAAUUUUCAUUUUUAACCCUAACAAGCUCAAGCACUUUAAGUUGUAUGUUGUCCAAUUAUUUUAUUUUGCUUUGUUUCAUGGGUUCUUGUGCGAAGCAUUUCUCAUGUCCUCAUAUAAUUUCUUUCCCCUGAUUCAAGGCAAAUAGGAUUUAUCUCUCAAUGUCUCAUCCUUUGUGAUUUAUAGUUUUAAACUUGUACUAGAAUUUCACUGCUUGCCUUGUAUUUUUUUACCAAUGUCAUCACCUGGGCACUGAUUUUUGUUUCAGUCAUGCAAAUGCUUUCAGAAUUCAGGCCCACCAUCACAUUCACAAUAUUCUAUUAUUCUUAGAGAAAUACAUAGGACUUCUAACAAAAUUUUCAAAUAUGUUUAUGGUAUUUCUUCCCCAUAGGUCAGCUUGCUCAAUUAACUAGAUGUGUUCUCUGACCUAAUCUCUAUAUCAGCAUUGCAUAAGUGCUUGACACAGGCGCCAAGUAUCUAAAUGUCCUCAAGUAUUGGACACAACAGCCUCUAGAGAUCUACAUAAUGACACUUUUGAUGCUUGUCCACAGAAUGAUUUUUAUUUGAAGCAAGGUAUGCCAUACCAUAUCGAACCCAGCGGUACGGAGCAUACUGAUUUUGUACCAGUACGUAGCAUGGGGGGCAUAUCGACACUCGGUAUGCCAAACCCCUCAUAUCAGGCAUACAAGGUGGCACUAGUAUAGGGCUCGGUACCUUUUGACUUGAAGUGUCGAUAUAACUGUAAUUAUUUUAUGUUAACAACAUAAUGACUCUUAAGGUGUCCAGCACUGAAACUAAGAUCCACUGCAUGACGCUCCAAUAGAAAAACAAGGUGCCAAGUGGUGGCAACUUUUGCUGAUGUCAGCGAGACAUUUCAAAGUGGAGUGUCCUACCACGUUCAAGCGUCCAAAAGUGUUGAACUCCCACAACUUAGAAAUGUCCAGAUAACAUAUUAUCGUAUAGUCACUCGUUUAUUGAGAAUUUCUGAAAACUAACAUCUCUAAGCAAAUCCCAUUUCUUCUUGACUGAAAGGAAUGUUGUCUUGAUUUUUGCCAAAUGUUACUAAUAAUCCUUGAAAUUUUGUGAAUAAUUCUUGAAUUAUUAGAACUCCUUUUUCUUAAUCUUGCUGGAUUCAUCUUUCAUAGCAAACAAAUUAGGAAGUGCUUAUCACAUAGCAUGCUCCAGGAAAACUCAACAUGACUAAAAAAAGAAGUUGAUACGUUGAAAGAUAAAUGCCUUGAAAUGUGUAAGUAUUUGGCUUGGACAUUUUUGCGAGAUAAGGAUUAUCUGACUGAAUAAUUUUUUGGAGCGAGAUCCUUUCCAUCAUUCAGGUUGAUCUGCAUUGUAUCUUUUUUGUUCUGUCGAGGUAUUAACUGCAAAAAGAUUGAGAGGUUCUCUGCCAACUAUAAGAUUUAAUGCUUAUAAGUCAGUGGAGAUACAAAAAAUAAUCCAUGUACAUUCCAAAUCUUUAUUAUUGUACCACAUUAGUGCCAAUGUAGGUAAAUAACUAAAGUUAUUUCUUUUGCAAAAGAUGUUUAUUUUAUGACAUGUAUGUUGUAUUAGUUCAUUUGUAUAUCUCAAUUUGCUUAGUGUAAAGUUCUUGUUCAUAAUCAUAAUCAUCUAACUUUUUUCCAGCUAUUUGGGGAGUGUAAAGAUCUUGAUGAGUCUUAAUUUUACAUGUAAAACAUUUUCCUUUGGUAUUAUGUUUUUAUUUGAGCAAGAAACACAGUGGGGUUUCCUAAAUAUCUGUUCUUGUUUUAUGCAUUUUCCCAUAAUAGUCUUAGGGCCCAUUUGGUUGGAGGUAAUCUAGCAUGAGAAAAUAAGUUGAAUGUCAGAUUAUCAUGUGGUACGAAAAAUGGAUAAGAAAGAUGGUAAAACAAAUGGUGGAUCCCAUAUCUAUUUUUCUGAGAGAGAAGGUAAAAUAAAUACCACUAGAUAAAAUAAAUACCAACAGAGGGUGAUAUUUAUUUUCCCACGGCAGAUUACCAAGUGGAGAUAAUAUGAAAAUAUCAUUUCUUGACGAAAAUGCCUCACUUAUAUUAUAUUAAUAUUAUAUAAAUUAUACUAUAUAAUUAAUAUUAAUUAUAUUAAUAUUAUAUCAAUAUAUUAUAAAUAUAUUAAUAUAUUUAUUAAUAAAUAUUAAUUAUUAUUAAAGUAAUUAACAAAUAUUUAUUAAUGAUCAUUAAAUCUAACAAAGGAUUUAUAAAUAAUUAAUAUAUUUAUUUGUAUACUAAAACAUACUAGAUUUAUUUAUAAUAAGAAAUAUUUUCUAAUAUAUGUAUAAUUAAUUUAAAAAUAUUUAAAUUAAAUAGUCUUUAUAUAACUAUAUGUAUACCUCAUGUAAAUAUGUUUUAAUAUUCGAAAUAGCCAAUAUUGUUAGCAUUUAUGUAAGUGGGCCAUAAAUAGCCAACAAAUGAAUUGAGAAAAAAAUGUUAUUACUUGAAUUGUUUAUUCAAGUGCAUUAAUAAAAAUUUGACAAUAUUUCCAUAUAAGAUUACGUGCAACCAAACAUAGUCAUCUUUUCCGAUGCCAUCUUUCUAGAGUAAUUUUUUCACCAACUAAACAUGGUAAAUUUUUUUCCCCUGCGAUCAUUUUUUCAGGUAAAUGAUUUCUAGGAAUCAACAGAUUAACCCAUAAUUUGACAUAUCCCAACCAAACGAACCCUUAGGUAUUCAAAAUCAUGGUAUAUCAUACGUACCAUACCAGUAUAUGGUAUGAGGGGUGUACCAACACUCGUACGCUGAACUAGCCCACUUGCCGGGCAUACCAACACAGUGACAAGGUAACACCGGUACGGAGCCCGGUAUCGAGAUGGCAUACCUUAUUCAAAAUGACUAAUGUUACAAAUAGAUGUGCUAAUGUUGUGUUAGCCACACUGUUUUUUCUCUCUCUUUUCAGAGGUAAUAGAUAUGUAAUUGUUUAGAUAGGAAAAGCGAACUUUUCUUGUCAUACCUAUUCACUGUUUUCUGCAUCAUAUCAUAAUGCUGCUUGUAUUGAUAGCAGAUAAUGGAUUUUGCAGUAUUACUCAAUGCCAGGAGGCUGUAAGUUUGGAAAAGCUUGUAAAUAUGUUCAUCAUCGAGGAAAACAUGAAAAUAACUCAGUGCAGCUAAAUUUUUUGGGCCUUCCAAUUCGACCGGUAAGUCUGCUAUGUUCUCUCAUAGAUAUGAAUGCUUACAAGUAUCAGGACUUCAUGGCAAGGUAUAUUGAAGCUGAUGUUUGGCCAUAAGUCUUGGCAUUCUGCACUUUUCCAACACCUUCUGAAGUUAGUAUUUUAGCACCACCAACUGAUGCUACCCUACAAUUGCAGGGAGAACGUGAGUGCCCUUAUUACAUGCGUAAUGGCAGUUGCAAAUUUGCAACAAACUGUAAGUAUCAUCAUCCUGAUCCUACUGCUGUGGGUGGACAAGAUCCUCGAUCAGGCCAUCGAAAUAGUGAACCUCCACAACAACGUGGUUUAGGAGCACCACAGGUGCCCAUGACCUGGCCUGUGCAGACAAUGUCAAAUGAGCCAGUUUCUUUCCUCAAUGCAUCACCCUCUUAUGUUCCUGGGAUGAUUUUACCUCCUCAAAGGCUCCAUUCAAAUCUAGAAUGGAAUGGGUAUCAGGUGAUUAAUCACUUCACAUUUCCCAAGAACUAUCUUUCUUUAAAUAAUAUUUGCCACUUUGCUUUGAAUCAUGAUGUUUGAGAAGAUAGAAUGAUACCCUGUCUUCUAGGAAUGUUAACAUUGUCUAGAAAGGGUUCUGUAUGAAACUCCUGGAAGAGCUUAAGCCUCUAUAUCCAUAAUAUCAUAUAGUGGAGUGAAAAUAAUGUAAUGUUGAUUAUGAAACAUAAUAUGUCCAUUUUAACAUUUGCAUAUAACUCCAAGUUUUCAAGAAAUUUCACAUAGUGCAAGUUUGAGAAACAAACUGUUGACACUUUCAAAUUUCAACCAAUGCAUUUCAGGCUUUAUCAGUAUAUUUGGGUUCCAUGUAUAGUUUGCAUUGUACAAGGAGCAUUCAAAAUUGAUAUUUUGGCAUAAAUAAGAGACCAUUAUGAAAAGGCAUGCUUAAUGUUUCAACCUGUCUCUGAAAUUACGAAAAUUGGACUUCUUUUUGCCUGUGGCUUGAUAUAACUUCAUGAUGUGGAAUAGUUUUAUUAAAGUUUUUGCAAAUUGUUUUGGUGUGUUUAUUACUCAGUUAAUUUGAAAUCAUGUGGGAAAACAAAGAUGAUGAACUUGACAGAAGUUUUUGAAAACUAAUCCUGCAACAUGUUAGGGAGGUUGACUAUGAUGGUUAUUUUCUUGCUUAUGAAAUGGAUUGAAAAAAAAGUUUAUCAAUGCAGAGGUUUCGAUAGAAGAAAACAUAUGAUAACAUAAUUGUUCAAGGAUUUCAAUGGAAGUGAUGCAUGACAAUCAAGAAGAACUCAACUGCAUGGAAUCAUAACUAGGCUCUUGAGGAAGCAAUGGAGUAGCAGCAAGUACAGCUUAUGAAAAAGUAAAAUUUAAAACAGAAGAAGAAAAGGAAGAAGGAAUUGCUUAUGUUAUUUUUCUUAAUUGCAAGCUUCUUGGUCUCUUUAACUUGUCUAGGAGUACUCUUUGUGGCAGCUAGAGAAGAAAAGAGCCAGAAGACUCAGUCAACGUGGUCAAAGACGAUUUAGAUUUUAAGGAGCCCAGCUCUCAGGACUCCUGCAAUUUGUAUUCUUUUUCUUUCAGUGUUCCUACUCAUAGGAAUCCCUUAGAUACGUAGAGCUUCCAUUCUCAUACCUUUUAUUGUCUCUCAUAGAAAGGUAAAGGACUUUUCUGUUGGGGGAUUGAGUGACUGAUGAUAUAAUUCUAGGAAAUAUAAUAGUUGGCUAAUAUUUUUGUUAGGGUUCCUUUUUAUAGACAUUCCAGUUUUGUUAAUUCUUAAUCACUUUUGUCAUUUCCAAAUUUGCAUGGAUUAUUGAUUUUUCGGUAAAGUUGCUUGUUGUAUUAACUUAUUAUUCUUUAGCUUUUUUUUUUAAAUUACCCAUUUAUAUUUUUCUGCAUUUUGUAAUAUUUUACCAGUCAUCAUGUUAUGUCACACUGUGACAGCUCCUAAAGUAAAUGGAACAAUUUUAUGAUACAUACGUAUAUAUGUGCAUAUGUACAUAUGUGUGUGUGUGUGUGUGUGUGUGUGUGUGUGUGUGUGUGUNNNNNNNNNNNNNNNNNNNNUGUGUGUGUGUGUGUGUGUGUGUGUGUGUGUGUGUGUGUGUGUACACACGUGUUCUUUCGUACAACUUUUCCAGAUAUCUGCUUAAGCGAUAUCUGAUCCCUCAACCAUCUGCAUGCCCCAACUGGCUUUUACAACACUGCAUAUUGCUCAAGGAAAUACUAUUUAUGAGUACUUUCUUCCUGUUGGUCAUUGUUUUUCUUGUUCAUAUGCCAUAAUAAGGUUCCAUUCAGUUCAAACAUAAGGCUAAAAUAAGGCCUCCAUGGAGUAGGCAUUGUUCCUGUUUUUUGGCUGCCCCUUCCUUACUAGGGCAAAAUUACCCUUGCUCUGUCUCUGUUUUUACAGCCUUACUGCCUAUAUCUGGAACCUGGCACCUCUAGUCUGCAACCCGGCGCCUUUGGCUGCUCCAACUUGCAUAGGGUUCUGCUCCCCUGGUUAUAGAGUGUUAUUGUUAUUUGCUGUGGACAUGUUCAUAUUCAGUUGUGGUUCGGAGUGGAUCUUUCUUGGCUUUGGUUGGAAGCACUCAAUCUAGUUCUCUUCUCUGUGCCUCAUUUGGAUUCUUUGUUGUUGUUCACCCGCCCAGAUAGUGGUAUACCUCCAUCAUGGCACAGUUUGGAUUCUUUGUUUGAGGAAAGGAUGGUUAUUUUAUUGCACGAGCUACUAUAUCUUUUUUUUUUGUUCACGAGAAUAUUUUUCGGUUUGUGACUUGUUUGGUUUCCUUUGGGCAUCAAAUCAUGAUCCUUCUAAUUGUUGCCAUCAGUUCUAGGUUUGCAUGAAUAUUAAAUGAGACCAAGAAUAAAAAACUCAGUAAUCUAUAAUCAGAUCAAGAUGAUCUAUGAAACUUUUGGUGCUAACUUUCAUUCUCUGUCCUUCAGUAUGUGCAUUAUUACUGCUAAUUAUCUGAAUAUAACAUGUUGAAGGGGUGGAAGAAACUUAGGUUAGUGACAUGACGGGUAAACAUGUUAUGCAAUAUGUACCCUUUCUUAUUCAAGGAAUAUGUACCCCUUCUUAUCCAGUCAUUGUAACUGAACAGCAUUGCAAGCUAUUACAGAUUAUUUCCUGAAAUAAAUCAGCCAAACAACUUGCAGAAUUGCAAUUGAAGUAAUUAUUUUUCACUUCGUUUGUUCUUGAACCAAAGACAGCCUUAAAGAAGUAAACAAGUAUGACUCUAUGAGACACAUUUCAUACUUCCACUUUUAACUUAAUGGCCCUUCGUGAAGUGAGCUGCUUCAGAAGAUGCAUGCUUUUGCACAGAGCACUAGAAUUAGUGGUGCAUCUUUCUUUUGUUUUUUCGUUGGUUAUGUAGAGGGUUAUUAAGAUCUUUUUCUUUUUUUUUCAAAUUACCUCUCUCUCUGAUCCUCCUAUAUAUAGGGUGUUUGUGCGGCUAUCAGUGAGGGUAACACAACUUCUUUCAAAAAUUCGAGGGCAUUUAUCAAUUUCAGAGCAGGUGGUCAUCUAGAGGCAAAUCGAUACAACCCAUUAUUGAUGUUAUGAUACUAGAUCUGAAUUUACAAUUUUUCUCUGAGAUGUCUAAUUUUUCACUAGGGAUACAGAACUCAGAAUUGAAGGGAAUAAGCAAUUGCUCAAAAAAUUAUAAUUUGAGUGUUUCAUUUGCAUCUUUGUUUUUAUAAGCAUAGGUUAAUAAACAUGGGUGUAUCAUGGUGCUACAUUCUUUAUUGACUUUCAUUUGGGAUGUUUUAGGCUCCGGUAAGUCCAUUGUUUCCACCAGAUAUUCAUGCACGGAACUCCUCAGCUUCAACCAUAAAUCAUAAAACAAACAAGGGAGAUAUUCCUGUAAGUCAGCAAGUGCCUGUUGAUGAAUAUCCCGAGAGACCUGGCUUGCCGGAAUGCCAAUAUUUCAUGAAACAUGGGGUUUGUAAAUUUAAAACUGCAUGUAAAUUUCACCAUCCAAAGACUCGUCUUCAAACAGUGCCAGUAGACGUUCUUAGCCCCGUUGGCCUGCCCUUGAAACCUGUGAGUUACUUUUCCAUUAUUUUCGAUCAACAUUUAAUCUUUAUUGUUGAUAAACACUCUCUUUCAUGGUAUCCUUACUGUUGCAUGGAUGUCAUUAUUUCCUAUUCAAUGAUAUGCUCGAAGGGAUAAACCACGUUUUUUUUCUUGAGCAUGCAACAGCUGUUAGAAACAAGUAUAACGUUUUAGUCUCAUGCAGUCUGCUCUUGCUUAGAUUUGUCUUCCAAAUAGUCUAAAAAUGUUUGUCAUGGUAUCAACUAUCAAGCAUGCAUUCCUAUGAUUUUCAACUAAAUGUAUGCUAUCGCAUUGAUUGCACCAUUCAUAAUUACUUUACUUGUUCAUAUAUCAUAGGAUCAACCAGUGUGCACACAUUAUAGUCGUUUCGGAGUGUGCAAGUAUGGACCAUCUUGUAGAUUUGACCAUCCAAUUGGUCACAGUUUUUCAGCGUCAGCAGGUGCGGCGGUAUCUGGACAGACUGCAACCCCAAACAAUGCUACAACACAAGAAUCAUAUGUGACAGGCAGCAAUUAUUUGGUUCAACAGCCAGAGUGAUAUUUAUGAGGCCUUUGCUGUAAAAUCAUAGGUCAACUAAUUGUGGAGAGCUGCAUAAACACUGCCUUGGUGCCAGAUUUUAGAUUUCCAUUUCAUUGGUGUAUAAACACCUUUUGCUUUGUACAGGGAUUCAUGUGUUAUAUUUACCAGAAAUAUAGACUAAAUAAUAAUAACACAGCUAAAAAAAAGUGUGCUGAGAAAAAGUUUGUGGUGAUACCAACUGUCCCCUGUGGAAACUCAUGACAAGGGAGGAACAAUCUCCAAUGUGUUACCAUCAGAUGCAAUGACAAAAUCUGGAUGCACAGCUAUCACAGGUAGCCUAUUAAAUAAGCACCGACGUCUUAUUGUGGAGUGCUUGAGAGAUUGAGAUGCCAUUCUCUUGCCAAGAGGAAAAUUUGAUACAAAAUAGUGCCCAAGUGGAUUUGUAAGUAAAGGUGCCAGCAGGUUACAUUCAACCCCCCUUUAGCCUGGCAGCAGCUGAAUCAAAUUGUGAAUCUCUAUAUCAGCAAACAGCGAUCCAGCUGGAGAGAUUUUAGCGAUACAGGAUGCUUGGAGAUUAAAGGAAAUGGACUUGUCUGAGAUGGACUACUUAUUAUCCAUGUUCCAACCUCAACCUUGCAGGCUCUCGAAGGUGUAUCAUAUAUGAAGGUGUAUCAUAUAUAAAAUUUCGCACCAUUGUACUUAAUUUUUCUGUUAGACACCAGAUUUUUUUCAACAGAACGAAGCAGGAUUAUUUAUCUUGAAUUUUAAGAAGCAUUUCUCCUGUUUAUUUCUUUUCAAAUACAGCAAACAGCAACCACUAGGUGGCUCUUGAGCCAUUAAACCUUUGGUUCAAUAUUUUAACUCUCUGAAUUGUCCAUAGUGGAAGCGAAGUACGAGAAUGCCUUUCAAACUUGAUAUUGGAUGUUUCGGUUGUGUCCGGAUGCUUUUAGUAAAAGAACAGUAAAGUAGCAAAUUGACAUAGUUAAAAGAUUCAGCAGAGCUACUGCAAAAGAAGGCAGCCACUGUUUAAUGUUCCUACCAGUUCUAGCAAAAAUAUAUCGUCUGCAGCAUGUUAUUGACUGCUAAACACAUGAAAGUCCUCAUUUUUUUUGUGGCCUAGCGCAGCUAUUCUCUCAAGAGAAGAAAGAACAGCAAACACCAGUCAGUCUAAAAUCUGGAUUAAUCCAACUAUGAUAAGACGGCUGCCUUGUCAGACUGUUUAAACAUUCAGCUAAAAUUGAUCAACAGUUACGAUCUUUUGAAACAAGCAAAACUGGAAUUCAUGUCAUCUACAUGUGCACAUUCUGAGUCCAGAAUUUCCUCCAAAAUUCAAUAGUCAAAAAGCAUUAAAAAGAAAGGCACUCCAGUCAGACAAUUACUUUUAAAAUAUUGUGCAGCACCUGGACUCAAGCAUAUAACAAAAUUUCUAUCGAAUACACUAACUGAGUACAUCAACUCUUGAGCCAGUAAUUCUUUAUACCAAUCAAUUAAUGGUUAUACAGCACAGAAGGAUGUCAAGUUUACCUUAUCGGAACUCUGAGAUUUUAAAGAUACGAGCAGUCCCAUCACUUGAGACUGAAACAAGGGAAUUACCAUCGGCAGACGUGUCCAGAGAUUGAAUGGUGUCGGCGUGGCCACUGAAAGUUCUCAAGCAAUUGCCGGAGAGACUAUCCCAGAUCCGUACCUUUCCAUCCACACAGCCUGUAGCCACGUACUGAGAUGUACCCAACCAACUCAGGCAUGUUACACCCUCCUGCCAGUCAAGACCCAGUGGCGACUAUAAGAAUAAGGAGAAAAGAAGUACAAAAAGAUUUUGGUGUGUACAUGUGAGGAAUCAGUACUUCAUGGUCACAUGUGCAUCGUACUGCAGAAUGCUGCAGAUCCCAUAUAAGGAGCUUUUGAUCCAUGCCUCCUGUUGCAGCCCAAGUAAAACUGCAAGGUGAUUUCAUAUGGUUAGUGUCUUUUAAGUCACAAAUGUAAAUUUCUAGUGAUGAUAGGCUUCAUGCAACCAUGCACAUAUAUGCAUAUGUUGCUCACCAUCAUACACAAGACAACAGGCAUAUGAUUAUAUUUGUCCUAAGGUCCAGUAGUUCAGUAAAAUCUCUCAGGUGGUCUUUGGCUGAAAAUUUUCAGCUAAAACGAAUGGUUGACAUUUGUCCAAAUGAGUCUAAAAUAAAAAUAUAAUAUUACCAAACAAAAAGGGUAAUGAUAACUAAUGUUGAAAACAGAUAACAGAAUAUAGCUGAAAGAGGAAAAGAAAACUUGUGAGAUUAAUAUUAUGUGCAGUAACCAGAAUACAGCUAAGCAUUUUGACUUUCUUUUUUUUUUCCCAAUAAUUAGGUUUCGGAGGCUAGAUAAGAUGCCCCUUGGGCUACCCUAGACACAAGGACCCAAAAUCCCAAAUCCCUAAACACUAGCUCCAAACUAAAAAGCUACAUGCAUCUCCAGUAAGGUGCAUUGUAUCUUGAAAGCCUGCAAAACUGCCACAUAUGCAAUAAUUGUAAAUUUGUUAAGCAACUUGACAAGAUUUUAACCCAUAAUCUUCCUUAAACCAUGGAGGGUACCAAAUAGAGACAGUCACAAAAUUUUGAUAUGUGCUUCCACAUAUGCAUAUUACUGAUGUGAUAAUGCAUGUUGCAAGUUCGAACAUAUCAUUAAGCCUUAACCUAUAUACCAGUAUCUACAAGAAAUGAAAACAGAUGAAUUCUCUUUUGGCAAUACAAGCAUAGAUUAGAAGGAACAGAUUUUUUAUUUGAUUGGAUGAAAAAACAACUUCAAACACUGUUUAGAACCUGCCGACAAGGUCCAACCAUUUUGUAGGACAGGAUGUGGGUUGAAGGUUCGACCGCAGGUCAAUCACAAGUCGACAGUCAGAUCUUUUGUUUUUCUUACUUUUUUGCAGUAGGCCGCCCUCUUUUCAUCAUGUACUUCCUUCUUCCUCAAACCCACUUUCUGUCCUCAAUCUUCAAACAAAGAUGACUAGCAGUGAUCUAUGAUCUUUGAACUUCCAAUGAAAAGCAAUCAACAACAACAAUUUGAUGAAGUCCAACAAUGGCAGCCGCCAGGCAGGGCCACUGACAAAAAAGCUCCAAGAGAAAAGGUGUUCAACUUUUCAAAAGAGAGAUUGAGCGGCAAAGAGUCUUUGACCAUGAGGAUUAGGGUCAGGGGCCUCAGGGCUUUUACACCACAAUGGCUAAAGGGCAGAUGGUUGAGUGUGAAGCAAAGGAAUUGGCAAUCCAGGUCUAUCAGAAACAUCAGAACACAGAAUCCAAACAGGGUCUUGAUGUUUGAAUUUUUUUAUUUUUAUUUUGUUUUUGCUGCUGGUGGGGGACGGGGAUGCAUCCCCGCCCACCAGGGGAUGGGGAUGAGGAAGAGGGGAUGGGCAAAAAGAAGAGAAUCUUGUGCCCCGUCUUCCUUUUUUCUUUCAAUGUAAUGUACACUACCUGGGAACUAGAGUUGGUGGAUGGUUCAAGCAGCUGAACCAUCUAGUUCAAUGGUUCAGACUAGGUUUUUCCAAAAUUCGGAUCUAUGCAUGAUCUUAUCCAUUUUUCCUAUCAGCUGAUAGAUUGAACAAGAUGGGACAACUCAUCCAUCCCUGACUGAUCUCCAAACGUUGACUUCAAGUCUCUAGUUUAGGCCUCGGUCUAAAAGUUACCCUGAGUUAAGCACAAGCCUCUCACCCUAAAAUGAAUUUCUUCAGGCAUUUUUAAUAAGGUCACCAUUUUGGUUUGCAAAUUGUGCCACCAACAUGAGUAAAACUCUACCUCAUUAAAUGUUCUUGAUUGACGAGUCCAUUCAGCAUGGUCGGUGGAACCAUCCCGAACCGGACUGCCCAGUUAGGGACGUCCCGAGCCAUACCGGCGGUGGACCAGGACAGUUCCGACAACGAAACCAGAACCAACAAUGGAGGGGGAGAAGGAGAACAGAAGAGAGGAAAAGAGAGAGAGUGGGGGAGGAAGAGGGAGAGGAAGAAAAAGAGAGGCUGAUCGGGGCUCUCUCUUUUCCUCUCUCCCGUUCUCCCUCUCCCCCUGCCUCAACUGUGUCGAUGCAGGGCCGGCACGGCCCGUUGUAGGGCCGUACCGACCCAUGCUGCCAGGCAACCGGUCCGAGACUUAGAACCGGCACAAUAGACUAUGUCAUUCGGUAUUUUCAUCAUUUACAUACCAAGAGGUGCCUUUGAAGAAUAUAGCAUCUCCAAAGCAUCUUACACAUUACACGCUUCUCAACAAUAAUCACAUAACUAAAAGAGAAGUAAUAUAUUUAAUCUUUAAGCACUACAACAUAGUAAACAAACAACUCCAGAGAUAACCAGCUAAAUUUCUCGAAAGUAACACCAUCAUCUAUAUAAAUGGGAACAUCAAUGUCAAGCACAAUACUGUGUACCUUACAGAGAUAUGCUUUUACUAUGCAAAUUUAAAAAGAGAGCAUGCUUAUUCAGGGAUAGCAACCAUACCUUGGCGAAAGUCCAAUACACUCCACAGAGUCGGAAUGAGCAUUUAAUGAGCUGACCACCUAAAAAGAUCAGGUGCUACAAGUCAGGGAUCAAUUUCCAUAAUCCAUGUUCAAAUACCAUAUAAGACUCUAUAACUUGACCAUAUUAUGCAAAAGAAGUAAAAUAAAAUUAAAAUUUAAAGUAACUGGACUAAUACAAACUAGUUCUUCAUAACUAAAGCUCAAAUAAACCGAUAAUUGCUGGUCAUACAUAAAUUUCUGAGAGAUCAGAUCAUGGGGCCUUUCUUGUAAUUGCAGAAUACCAUCCAACAAAGACCAACACAAUUAGAAUACCUAGACUUUCAAAACGCCAGAAGACAUUUUUAAUAAGAAACUUCAUCCAUUCUAGAAAACAUAUCGGAUUCUUCACAUGAGACCCCUCAAUUACCAAAUUUUAAGCAUCCCCAACAUUGGUUAGAAGAACCUCCUCUAAUGACCAUGAAGGAGUUGCAAGGCACAGCCUUCCAUGAAUAAUCCAAACAAAAUACUGCUCCAGUUCUGAACCCUUCAUCAACAGCCUUAGAUUCCUUUUUGCAAGCAUGCAGCAAUGUAUAGAACAUUAUUCCGAUGAUAUAUACAUUAUACAAUAUGUACUUGUACAAUUCACUAUUAAUGAGGGUGAGCCCUAGCGCAACAGUAAGGUAGCUCUAGUGUGACCUGGAGGUCGCGAGUUCAAAAUAGGUAAACAACUCUCUGCAUACAGGGGUAAGGCUGCAUACAUUUGACCCUCCCUAAACCCCGCAAUGGCGGGAGCCUCAUGAACUGGGCCACCCUUUACAAUUCAUUGUUAUAUACAGACAUAGAUGUAUACAUAUAUUUGUUCAUUACCAAUAUUAUAAUAAAUAUAAUGUGCUAAUGUUAACAUAGGGAAAAAGAAAUCUCCAUCUAGAGAGAAUGUGAAAAGUCAUACUUCCAAAUCAUCAUAAAGGUUGAUGCCAAUCAACUUAGGUUAAAACAGUAAGAGUAUCCUCAAAUACUUCAUUUGAAACAUAAGAUGAAGGCAAAAGAUUAAUUUUAAUCGAAGGGGUAAGGCUGCCUUGCAAGGAGAUGAUAUUAAGUUUAAUCUCUCGAUGAAUUUUUGGCUCUUCUCUAGUUACAAAGCCUCAUGAAAACCCUCAAGUUAAUCUACUACUCUUUAGUCAAGUUACUCGUGGUAUUCUUUAGCAAGCAAUACAAGAACCUUCUGUGCUUCUUUAUUAAGAUGCUUCUAGUUGUCAAGAGAACUUUAAUCUUUCCUAAAUUUUCUGAUCUUCCACCUUAAUUUUGGCAGCUUUCUACUCUUGACUUUUGUCAGAAAUUAAAUGGAAUUUUCUGUGGAAACUGGUUUGGUGAGGUUAGAAAUUGAAUACAUCCUCAUAUUGCAGAACUCUUUGCCUAACCUCCUUUCCCAACAAGCAUCUUACAAAACAAUGAGACAAGAUUUAAAAUCCUAGUACCAAUACCAAUAUUGGUUGGUUGCUGGUUCGUAGAGCAUCAGGACAUGCUACAUGAACACAGUUGGGUGUUACAACACCUCGUGCUUGUUAGUUAGUUAUCGCUUCAUGCUUAUCGACAAGCAACCACCUCAUGCUUCUUUCAUCUCAUGCUACCUACUAAAAAGCCAACUCAUACUUGCUGUGUUUAAGCCCGUGUAGUGGGCCAGAUUGCAUGGAUAGUAGGCCCACAUAAGGAGAAGCUACUAGGUCCUGGUUGUUGAGGCCAUUUGUUCAGACAAAAGUAUUGAAAGUCCUGAGGCAUUAACUUGGGGAGAGUACCUCCUCCACUCGCCCCAACCCCUUUCUAUGCUAAAAAAUAGAAGGGGAAAAAUAAAAAUAAAAGGAUUAAGAAAGAGUUGAAAGCGAAGAAUAUUCAUGCUCAAUGGUAUGAAGGCUCGGAGGUGUAAUGGCAAUGAGGAAGGUGCGCCACAUUCCUCCUCUCUAGUCUCUUUUUUUUAUCAUUUUCCUAUUCGCUGCUCUCCUUUCAUUUCUUGUCUUCAUCCAUUUAAGGUUUUUUUUUUUCUUGUUUUCCUCUCCUUUCCUAGCUUCAUCAUUGAUGGAUGAGAGGAGGAACACUAUGCCAGUCAAGGUUCACCAUCCCAUACCGGAUCUCAUACCAGUACCAUACUAGUACAAUAUCAGUAUGCCAAGUAUGCAGGUCAGCUCAACAUACCGAAACUCAAUACGCCCCCUAUACUGAGUCUCGAUUUGGUGUCGAUAUGGUAUGAUACGCCCAGUUCGAGACAAUAUGCACUAGCAUGGUGAACUUUGAUGCCAAUUAUUGGUGAGAUUUGCGAGAUAUGCUAGAUUAUUGAUUGGGUGUCUCAAAUGGAAAGAGAUCGCAUGUCUUGUUGAGUUAUAUUUGAUCCAUCCAGUCUCAUGACUGGAAGGGCAACGAGCUACUUAGCAUGGUGCUCCUUGAGCGGUGAUGGGAGGAGGGAAGAAUGAUAGCUAGGAAAGUUACGAGACACGGAUGUCGUGUCGUGUCACCAUGUGGACAUAGGUAUCGCUGCAGCCACCUCAUGCUUGCAAAAUAGCCACCUAGCUUACCUUAGUUUGACACCUAGCUGGUAUCUAGUGGUGGCUGACACCUAGCUGGUAUCUAGUGGUGGCUGAACACCUCAACAAAAAGAAUUUGCCAUCCAUAAACAGGAGGGUAUACUCCCUCCUACCACUUCUGUAAGCCAAAAAAAAUACAAAAACCAUAGAGCAGGGCACUAAUGAACAAAAGGGAGCAAGAAUAACAAGAGUACAAAGUAACAGCAAGAACAAAGGGAGAGUGGUGCAAAGCUUUAGACCACUUUGUAGUGUNNNNNNNNNNNNNNNNNNNNNNNNNNNNNNNNNNNNNNNNNNNNNNNNNNNNNNNNNNNNNNNNGACUGCGGCGCCGUCGACGAGGUCGUGGGCAAAGGUAGCAGCUCAAGGAAAAGGUAUGUCUAAGGGGAGGAAAGGGGACCGACCAGGUGGUUGGGGGCGACCUGGGCCUUGGGUUACCCACCAGAUGACGGAGGCGGAGGUGGCUCGGUUGAGCCAACACUUCUCGUUGGUCAUCGAGCUCCCGGAGGAGCCCAUCGAGGCUGCUCGCCGAGAGUGGGAGGGACUAGCACUGGUCGGUCGGAGUCUCGGCCGGCGGGUGCCGGUUGAGUGGGUGGCCAAGGAUGUGGCCGCCCGGUCGAAGAAAACAGGGGAGGUGGUGGCGGUCACCCUCGCCGAAGAUCACUUCGCGUUGCGGUUCCAGUUGCCGGAGGUCCGGGACCACGCCCUGUUAGAGGGGCCAUGGGUGGUGGCGGGGCAACUUUUGGCUAUGGAGCCGUGGGCGUCGAACUUCCUACCCAGGGAGACCCCGGUUAAGACCGUGGUGGUCUGGCUCCGGCUACCUGGCUCCCCCCGGAGUAUUGGUCGACCUCGACCAUUCUGGACAUCGCUGCCAAGGCAGGGAGGCCAAUGGCCGUGGACGGUGUCACAGAGGGGCGACGAGCCAUGGGCUUUGCUCGGGUUAAGGUGGCUAUCGACGCCUCCGAACCCCUCCUAGGGAUUCGGAUACACGGGAGGACGAAGGCUAUCUGGCAGCCUUUCGUCUUCGAAAGUAUUUCGGAUCUCUGCGUCCGGUGUGGUAGAAUCGGGCACCUCGAGCCAGCGUGCCGGUUUGGGGCUCCGACCGGAGCGAGUUCAUCGGGGGAGGAGGGUUCCGACCCGAUCCAUGACCUGUGGUUGGUGACAUCCGCGCCCGGCAGCCACAGGAGAAUGGUCCGCCGGAGCGAGGGAAGGUGACCGAGCACCCUGCCGGGUCCCCCCUUUCUCGGCCUACUCCGCCGAUUAUCCCGACUAGUCCUCCGGUGUCCCCGCCGGACCUAGAGGGCUGGCAAAAGCCUACCAAGGUGGCCCGCCACCACUCCCCGCCGGUGGUGGCGGCCCUGGCCUCCGAUGGGCAAGAGGAGAGCUCCCGAGUUGAUACGGCCAGCGACUCGCUCAUGGGACGGGUCGACUCGGUGCCCGCGGUGAUUAGGAUCGGGUUGCCGGGGACUCGGGCCGGCCCGUCAAAUCAAGCCAGGCCGAGCUCUGGGUCGGCGGGCCAGCCCACGGUUUAGCCUAAGAAACGGCCCAGGAAUUUUGGGUUGCUACUGGAAGUGGGCCGCUCCCUGGGCUGGGGUCGGGCAGGCCACAGGGGUGGCUUGGCCGGGCCAGCGACCCGCGGGGCACGUGUGCCCCGCGUGGUUCGCGCGGAGGUCACGCGGAUGUCCUUGGGAAGGCCCCUGUGGGCGGGAUCCUUCCACUGUUCACGGCCCAAACGGGCCCUAUGGGGUUUGACACAGGGCCUGACCCACUGGCCCAGGUUGCGGGGCCCAGUGCUUGUGGUUUCCAGUUUGGGGCCCAGGCCCCCGAGGUGGAUCCGCCGUCCGCGAUCCUUACUACUCUAGGCUCUCUAGAGGUGGAUGUGGGGCAGGGAGAUGGUGCCUCGGGUAGGCCCGAUCCGGGUGACGCAACUAGGACUAGUGAGGUUCCUGUCUGCGUUGACUGCCCUAUGAGUGACUUUCUGGCGGGGCGGGAUACGCUUGCACUUGUGGAGCCGGGGGUAGGUGACUCGAGUGGUCAUGAGGGGGCUGCUUGCACGUCCGCGGAUCACUCGACUGUCGUUCAACGGGUGAAGGCGGCAGUGUUGCGAGUCGUGUCCGAGGCUAGUAUGGAUGAGGGUCAGCGGGUCGACCCUGAUCACGAGGUGGUGAUGGACCCUGUGGCACAGAGGGUUGACGUGCCUGUGGCCGACCUCUCGGACUUUUCCCCAUGAGGAUUCUUGCGUGGAACUGUAGGGGGCGGCAAAGCCGGCCUUCAUGUCAUCCUUUAGGAGGUUGGUCCAGAUCCAUAGUCCGGAGAUCUGCCUACUCUAUGAAACACGACUAUCCGGUAGAGGACUCUGUCGUGUUUUACGGCGGUUUGAGGUUGACUGGGAGUCAUAUGUAGUAGAUUCCCAGGGGCUGUAUGGAGGCAUUAUGGCUCUGUGGAAGCGGGGUGUGGCUACAGUUGACGUAUUCCACAACUGCUCCCAACAGGUCCUCAUGAUUAUCUCGGAACCUAAUGCUACACAGUGGGUUUUGUGCGGAGUGUAUGCUAGUACAAACCAUCGGACCAGGAGGGUUCUGUGGGAUGAGCUCACCCACUUAAUUGCUCAGGGGCUUCCGACUGUGAUGGUGGGUGACUUCAAUUGCAUCUUGGAGGAGAGUGAGAAACGAGGAGGUAGGACCUUCACUGACACUGUGGAUAGGAGGGAGUUCCGCGAUUUCCUCUCACGUAACGGCCUAGUAGAUCUGGGUUUCUUCGGUCCGCGUUUCACUUAGUGUAACAACCAGUCCAGACGAGCUAGGGUGUGGGAGCGACUGGAUAGGGCUGUUGCUUCCACUGACUGGCUCAUCAGAUUCUCCUCCUAUAGGGUUAGUCAUCUACCCCGGAUUGCUUCGGAUCAUUGUCCUUUGCUGUUUUCGAUGGUAUCGGGUUCGAGUCACCAGAGCCCAUUCCGCUUCGAGAAGGUCUGGCUGUCUUUCCCUCAAUCCUGGGACAUUGUCCGGGGAGCUUGGGGUCUGCCGGUUCGCGGUGACGCCAUGCAGAGUGUUUCGCGUAAAUUGGACUUGACCAAGCGACGGCUACGUCGCUGGAACCGUGAGGUAGUGGGUGAUAUUUUUAGGAAGCUGGAGGAUGUGGAGGCUGCGAUUGUUGACCUCCAAAGUAGGGAAGAUCAGGUGGGCGCACUCCCCAAGGCCGAUAUGGUGAGCCUCCGGGGACUUCUCUCCACCCACCACUCGAUCCUGCGUCGACAUGAGAUCUUCUGGAGACAAAUUCAGAAUUCAGUGGGUCGGAGAGGGUGACCGGAACACUAGUUUCAGUCACCAAUCUACGGUUAUCAGAAGGCAGAGAAACAUGAUUCGUUCCUUGCGGGAUGAGCGGGGCACAGGGUGGAGGAUGAUUCGGCGAUCAGCCAUAUCCUACUCGAGUUCUUUCGGUCUCGCUGGACGGAGGAUAGUGGGUUUGACGUCGCCGGCCAGCUCCCGAGAGCCGAAUCCCAAAUCGGGGUGGUUGAGAAUGCACUGUUGGUUCAACCAGUGACGGAGGGGGAGGUGCGAGAGGCGAUCUAGGCACUGAGGAUAGGGCUCCGGGCCCAGAUGGCUUCCCUCCUUUCUUUUUCCGAAGAUACUGGGGUAUUGUCCGGAUUGCAGUGGUGCAAGCGGUCUUGUGUUUCUUCAGUCGGUCAGGGAUGCCUGACGACUAGAAGGCCAUAUUUGUCACGCUGAUGCCUAAGCGUUCGGACGCGUCCGAGCCGAGCCACUUUAGACCAAUCAGUUUGUGCAUAACUUUAUACAAAGUUGUGGCAAGAAUACUGAUGGAUCGCAUGAAGCCCUUUCUCUCUGGCAUUAUCUGUCAAGAGCAAGGUGCUUUUGUGGGAGGUAGGAGCAUUUCCGAUAACGUCAUGGUGGCCCAAGAGAUGAUGUGGGAUCUUCGAUGGGCCUCGAAGCGACGAAGCCUGAUGGCUAUCAAGCUGGAUAUGGAACGAGCUUACGAUAGAAUCAGGUGGAGUUUUCUUAGGCUAGCUUUGGAGAGUCUGGGUUUCCAUGAGACCUGGAUUGGUUGGGUUAUGGGGUGUAUCCAGGGUCCGAGGUUUUCUAUCUUGGUCAACGGCUCUCCGUCCCCAUUCUUUAGUUCUACUAUGGGGCUUCGGCAGGAAUGCCCGCUAUCCCCGUACCUGUUCAUCAUCUGUUCUGAUGUCUUGUCUCGAUCACUGCGGCUGCAUGUGCCGCCGGAGAGCUGGAGGCUUACGUCCCAGCUCUAGGGGCCUAACCGAUAUCACAUUUACUUUUUGCCGAUGACUGCCUCCUCCUGACGUGUGCUCGCGUAGCAGAUGCUCAGGCUAUCAGGCGGGCUUUAUCCGCCUACUGCUAUGCAUCCGGUCAGAGAGUGAAUGCCCAGAAAUCCGCCAUCUUCUUUAGCCCGAGUUCGCCACCCGAGGUUCGACGGGAGAUUCAGAGGAUUCUGGAGAAGCCCGAGCAGGACGGGACCUGGAGCUAUCUGGGUGUUCCGAUCACAGGUAGGAGACUGCGAGUAUCGGAGUGCACCGGGAUGGUGCAACGGGUCCAGAGUAGGCUAGAGGGUUGGCGGGCAGCGUCUCUAUCUAUGAUGGGUAGAGUAAUGCUGAUUAGAUCUGUAUUGGGCUCCAUGCCCAUCUAUCUCAUGACAAACACGGUGGUGCCAAGAUCAGUCCUACUGAAGAUCGACCGACUUAUUCGGAGCUUCUUAUGGGCCUCGCAUGGUGGGGGCCGUGGGGUGCACCUGGUGGCAUGGGAGAGUAUCUGCCUCCCUCUCAGGGAGGGUGGCCUAGAGGUGGUCCCUUCUGGAGAGACGAGAGCUGCUCCUCGCCCAGCAUGCUUCCCGCUUCAUCUUGGAGCCGCAGGGUUUUUGGAGACGGAUCAUGACUGCCCGCUAUGGGAGGGUAGGCCAGGAGGGCUAGGCUCGAGGAGGGCGGAGAUGUUCCUUUCUAUGGCGUGAGAUAACGAGGUAUGUGCCUAUGGACUAGCCAGGAAGGUUGGAGGGAGUUGUAGAGGUUAGAGUGGAUAACCUCGUGAGUGGGGUUGAGGGCUCAAGACCAAGGGCUGGACUCAACACUUCCAUGAUUUUGGAUUUCAAUAGAAAGAACAAAAUGAUAAGGUAGGUGCAAAUAGCACAUAAUGGGAGCCAUGAUUUUUUUUUAAGAGAUGAAACAUAGUGAACUGAGGGGCAGAACAAGAGAGAACUGAUGACAAAUAGUCGCGAGGCUGCCCAGCGAAAGAAGGCGAGGUAAAGACAAUCGAUGAGGUACGGCAAGGGAGGGGAGAGGAGAGGAGCUGGCAGGUGACAUCUCCAUUGUAGUUCUGGGAUACUAGCAUCUUUGUUGAGGAGAAACCCUCAGAGGUGUUGGCAGUGCAACGAGCCCAGAUGGAGUAGUGGUGUAGCUUCUACUGGGCGCUAGAGGCAUGAGGGCCCUAUGUGGUGUUUGUUAUUAGCAAGGUUCGCUGUACCGGUACCGGACCCCAUACUGGUACCACACUAUCAUAGUAUCGAUACGGCAUGGUAUUGCGGUAUGCCACCGGUACCGGACUGGUAUGGUACGGCCGGUAUAAUACGGUACAACAUACUAUUGUUAUUAGAGAUAUGGUACACAUUAUUACUUAUUAAUAGAGGCAUUCUAAUCAUUUCAUAAACUUAACAUUAUAUAUGUUCUUUUUAUUCUUAUUUUUAGUGUUUUUACAAGACCACAUAGUUAGCAUUGCUUCAGUCAUUUCCUCAAUCAAUUCCAAUAUCCUGGAGUCCAAUGGAGCACUAGAAAUGGCACCCCAUCAUAGCUCGGCUGAAUGAUUACAUCCCCUAGCUAAAUUUUCUUAUUUUCAAGUAGCUUGCCUUUUUUUGGAAAGCACAUUUCUGUGGAUGAUAUCAUAUUCACCAUGUGGUGGAGCCAAGUAUCUUUGUACGUUAAUAUAAUGUUUUUAGAACUUCUUCCAAGUAUAGCCUUAAAUAACUUUUGAUGUAACUAGAAAUUAAAUAAUAAUUAAGAUCAAGUUCACUAUCUCGAUACCAAACUAGACUCCAUACGGGUACCAUGCUGCUAUAUCGUCAGUACAUCUAGUACGAGGGUAAGUUCGGCAUACCAACUGUGUAUGGAGCCUCGAUCUAAUAACAGUAUGGUAUGGUAUGAUCAGUGUGGGCUAUUACACAGUGAUACUCAGGCCUCAAUUUAUAUCUGAAGCGAGUGAAUUAAGAUGAUAACUUGGUGGCCUUCUUCCCAAUGGAGUGGAUGUGGUGAGGAUAAUCAUUUCCCAUCUCAUCUACCAGCAUACAACGGAUAUUAUUGUGAUACACAACCAUCCAAAUUCAUUGCCAUGUGCAGUGUAGCCAACUAAAGCCGAAUGAAGGGUUAUAGACCGAAGUCCCACCGACUGCCCUGCCACACUCAAACCAAUGUGAUGAUCCUCUAAGUCAAAGCUUACGCGCAGGGCUGUGGCUGAAGGCAUUGGUGCCAAUGAUGGCAAUGCUUCGAAGGGUCAUUAAGAGGAGGGCGAUGGAGAGAAGGGGACAGGAAGUGCAUUGGAGAAGCCGACCAAAAUGGGUUCACUAGUUCCUAAGCUCGGUGGGCUACCUAGAUUAGAAGGAUCUCGAUGAUUGGGACCAUGGUUUGCCAUACCAAUCGGUACAGGUGCAUACCGACUGCACUAUACCAUACCAGUACCGAACAAGUACAUGGUACAAAGGGUGUAUCGAGUAUCAAUAUAUAGAACCGCCCCCCAUACCAAGUGUAUUGACACAGUAAUAAAGUGAUCCCGGUACGGAGUUCGGUAUCGAGAUGAUGAACCUUGAUUGGGACGAAUGGGUUUCUUUUACUGUUCAUAGAUCUUAGUUAAGAGUAACCAAGGGUACAAUGUGCAAUCAUCAUUUGCCAAAUCUGGUACCUUAACCGGGGGCUGUGGUGAGACAAUAGGCUAACAGAAGGGAUUGUGCAAAUUAAAUAACAUUAUUUGGUUCGAUUUAUAAAUAGAAGAUAAAGAGCGAUGUUAUAUGUAAUUUCAAUAAAAUCAUGGGUGUGAUAUGCAAAAAACCCUUUUCUAUGUUUAGAUAUUUAUUAAUCUAUGUAGCUGAUCCACCUAUCUAUUACAUCUUAAAGUGAGAAAUUUGUUGGCAUAGUCUACUAGAAGGUAUAAAGUACUUCUACCAUACAGAUAUAAACCACUUUUUUUAUUAACAAAUUUGUUGUACCAUAAAGUAUUGUUUGUACCUGUUGAUAGUUGCAACCAAGGUUCGUCAUCUCGAUGCUAGACCCCAUAUCGGUACCAUCCUAUUACUAUGUCGGUAUGCUCGGUACAUGAGCCAGUUCAACGUACCGACACUCAACACAUCCCGCAAACCACAUACCAGUUCAAUACUAGUAUGGUACAAUAUGUAAUGAUUUUUUUAAAAAAAUGAUUUUAUUUUUUUAUUUCUUUAUCAUUUCUAUUCAAAAUUUAUUUUUAAAUGUCUUUCUAUUUAUUGUUCCCACUCUCCGUUUUUUCCAUUGGGUCCCAUGGUUAUAUAUAUUCAGACUCUCCGUUACUUCCCCCUCUCGCUCUAUGUUUUUUAUUCUAUGACUCUCCUCCUUGAUUUUAUUCCUAUGUUUUGUCAGUCGCACUGAUAUCGACUGAUACGGCAAACCUUGCUUGUAACAUUAGAAAUGGAAAGAGUGUUGAAUGUACACUACUAAAAAAUACAAAUGUCUUCUACCGAGCUAUGUUGAUGCUAUGUUAGUGAACCCUAUUCAAUUCAGGGCUGUGAGCUGUAAAAGUUUAAUUUGAAUGAAAAUUCAGUUUGCUUUGUACAAUCAAAUGGCCGUCAACUUUGGGUAAAUGAUUUAGAGGGCAAAUUUACAAAUUAAGUACAGUUGCAAUAAAGGAUUGAACUGAGUGCAGAUCAGUAAUCGAUUGUCGUUGUUGUUAUACUCAGAACCUGGCAUGACUAGGUUUCAGGUCAUUACAGAUGGUGCUAAAACAGCACGUGAAAAUAAUUUUUGUUCGUUUGCACAUUUAUCAGGAUUAUGACUAGUUUAAGACCAAAAGAUGCAACAAAAUUUGUUGUUCUUCAUAAACUAAAGAAAGAAAAACUUAAUUAGGUCGAACAAUACAUGUUUUUUACUAAAAAAAUGUACAUGUAGGCAAUCUGGAUUUGUCAUAUACAUCAGACAAGACAUUGCAGUUACAAGCAUGCACAGGUUCAAGGUGCUGUGCAUGGAAUGUAUCAAUCAAGUCUUUUAAUGCGCAAACCCACCUAACCCUUCAUAUGAAACACAAUAAUGUUUGUGCAUAAAGCAUGUGCGUGCCCUUCCAUACAUGCUCAUAUAGAAUUAGCUCUAUUUUUUAUGAACUUCCAAUGUAUGUGCAAAAAUACAUUCCCUAGUUUUUGUUUACCACCUCAUUGUCUCUAAUUCUCAAGCAAAAUGUCUGUAGAGGAUGGUUCACAAGUAAUUCUAUUUUAAAAGGUCCUUACUGUUAAAUUUCAUCUCACAUGGGGAUCAUUUGAGGGUGACUCGACUACUGGCUCACUAGCCUGCUAAGGAGUAUGUAUUAUAUGUAGCAAGGAUGUUAAAGCCUUUUCUCAUCAAAAUUGAGGUAGCACAUUAUUGUUCAUAUACAUAUGUAUCACUUGAUAAGCAUGGAUAUUGGAUAGGUUGAGUCCCAGUGAUGUAUGUAUUAUCAUAUGAAUAAAUAGAUUCUAAACAUGCAUGGUUAGAUAUGCAUGGCCAAGUCUGAACUUGGUGUUAAGUAUAUGUCAAUGUAUACAAAUAGAAUGGUUCAUGCAGUAAUGUAUAUAAUAGGAAUGUUCAGGUACUGUAUGCAUAGCUUGAAUACCAACCAAAGCACUAAAAAAGUAUUCCUGUAAAAGUAGUCAAGAGCACAGAAUCCAAAAGGCUGCAUUUUAAAGUAAUUUUUCAAGAAAUUAAAGAAAAUAAAAGCCAUCCUCAAAAGUCAAAUCUCUUUCUAUAGUCAUCUUAAAACAGACUAUAUUGAUCAUCACAGUGCAAUUUAAUUCUUAUUCAUGAGAUAAAAGUUCAAAUAAUAGAAAGCAAUGGCAUCACAUAUUUGACAGGUAUAGAAAUGAAACGCAUCAUGUAAAGAAGACAUUUUUGUAGUAAAAUUAAAGAAAACUUCAAUUCUGGAAUUAAAAAUCUGUGUUCGAAGUUGACUUCUACAAAAGAAUCUGCUCGAUCUUUAUUUUAUUUUCUUUCCACUGAAAAUGGUGAUGUCAUAAAUGGCGUACAUGAUACUUACAAAUAGAAACUACUCUCAUAAUGGCAAAAGCAAAGAUAAGCAAUAAAAAUUAUCAACGGGAAAAGGGAACCAACCCGUCCAGUUGUUAUAUUCACCAUGUGAACAGAGCUAUCCUUUGAGCCAGUCAUAGCAAUAGUAGAAUCAGAAGUUAUUGAUAAGCAUGUCAGUCCAUCAGUAUGAUAUGGAUGUCCUGCAAAAUUAAUUGUUUCACCAUCAGUUAACAAAUACUUGAAAGGCAAAGUGUUCCCACUGAAUACAUAGCACAAAAAAAUAUAUAUAUAAACUGGGUCUAACUAAUACAACCAGCGAUAAUAAUUUAUAAUAACAGAUACCCAUUUCUCAUUUGAUCAGUAAAACUGAAAAUCAUAAGCAACAACGAAUCCAAAACCUUAAAGAUCACAAGAAGAUUCUAUAAUGUCUUCCCCCAUGACUCCAUAGAAAUGGAUGUUAGUAACUUUAUUAACCAAACACCAACUAGAUACCAAACCUGGUUACAAGAAUGAGGAGGCAGAGCUAUUAAAGAAUUCGGCAUUGGAAGUACGUAAAAAGCAUCUGAUAGAAUUAAAUUAAUGGUACAACAUGAUAAAAUUUCUCAUUUGGUUGUUCAAUACACAAAAAUGCCUGGUUUAGGGAUUCAGUUAUCCAAAAACUAGUAAACUAAAGAACAGUAUAUUCCUUUUGGCCAACUAAGAUUGAUUUUGCUGAAAGAGUAUUAACAACAAGACAUAUUUCAAAAUUUGGGUGAAAAUACAGGAAGAUCAAGCUUGAAAGGAAGCAAGAUUCUAGGUAGGUGCGGGACCCUUGGUGAAAGAACCUAGCAAAUAAGUAAUAAGAAAUGGCAAUUACAAAAAUCAACAAAUCUAAUCUUGAAAGUGCAGAAUAGAAAACUCUAACAAGUAAACAAAUUUAUUAGGUUAAUUAAGAACAGUCUCAAUCGAUAUCUCUAGAAAAGUAGCAUAUUUCUUGAAAUCCAAUACCUCAACAGAAAAUAAAUAAUACACAACUCUCUUCUUUCUCAAAAGGAAAAACAUGAAGCUAAACUGGCAUCACAUAAGACCUAUCCUAGGUGCAUUUCUUGGUCAAGCUAGCUGAAGCAGUGAAGCUAAACUGGCAUCACAGAAGACCUAUCUUAGGUGUCCUCAAUUAUGAAUAUCUAUCAAUUAAAUGACAUCAAACAUUGUCCACAUAGUUUAAUAGACUAAAAUAUUCGAAUUUAUCUUUGAAAGCAAUAAGAAAUGAUGUUGCUGUGACUUAUCCAAUUACAUUUUCUAGUUUUAUCAUCUGCUUAAACUUCAAUUAACAUAGUUCUUAGUACAGUAACUUGCUAACAGAAAAUGACUUCCUUCAUAGCAAGAAUAUUAUUCAGGUUGCUUAAGUCAUAGGCUAACCGAAACCAAGCCCAAUAACCAAUCUACCCAACAGUAGCUGCCCGAGCAGCCAAACUUAAGACCAUACUGGUUCCAAAAUUUUGUGAACCAAACACAUGAUUUAAGUAGACUUUUAAUCAGGUUGAUCUGAGAUUAUUAGGAUGGGUUUGUUCAACUUAUACUUUCAUUAGAUGAUUAUAACUUGACAUUGCAUCAUAUUUGUGUUAGAUCAGGAGCCCCCCUUGAAGCAAACAUGUUAUAUUUGGCUUGUGAAUACCCGCAUCCAAAUCUUUGGAUAAAUUCAAGUUGUCACCAGCGGUUGCCCAUCCAUCAAUCUGAACCUGACUCACAGUCGGAAUGAUAACCUAGCCAAGAAGUUGCAUUCUUAUGAAGAUCAAGAUGCACAAAAAAAAUUCAAGUUUGCUAUACCAAAUAAUGAUAUAAAAAAACUAGUCAAGGAGGUCAGCUGGAGGCUGGGUGGUUCCGACCAGUACUUGAUGAUGAACUGAAAUAAAAGGGAAUGUUAAGAUUAUAGAGUAUACAUGCAAGACACCUCCAUGGCCCCCAAAGAUAGAUAAAGCUUUUCUUACAUUCACUUCUUAUACUAGACUGCCACUCCAUUUCCGUUAGGAAACCGUUCAACAAAUACAGUGACAAAUAAUUUAGAAUUUACAGCAUUCAAAACCAUUCAAGUAUUCAACCUUGCAUUUGCAAUAUGAAUCCCCCUUUUAUGGAACUUAAAAAUGCCUACUUAGGUUUAAACUAUGGUAUGCUGUACCGUACCGAACCGAAUAGUACCGAGUGUACCAUACUGUACCAGUUCGGUACCGGUACCGGUGGCGUACCGGCACUCGAUACGCUAGACGUACCGUGUACCGUACCAUACUGACACUAUGCCAGUGUGGCAUCGGUACAGGAUCCGGUACCGGUACGGCAAACUUUUAUUUAAACAAAUUAAUUUCUAAGAAUACACGAUUUCAUAAAGUUUCUUUUUAAUCUUAUCAACAAAUAAAGCUUUAAAUACUCAUGUUAAGAGCUUGAUGAAGUUAUAGCUGAAACGUUAAUGGCAUCAAGAAUUAAAUCCAAAGAGCACCAAUAAUGCAUCUAUCAAAAGUUCCAAACCAAAACUUAUAAUGAGGAUUCUCCGCUGUCACAAAAACAGCCAUAGACAUAGGAGUACAUAGUUAUGUAUUUAGAAUGUAAUUGCAUGGUCCGUGUUGGGGACAAGGAAUUCUAUUUUAUUUUGAAAACUUAGCACAUACAUGCCUUAAGAGUAAGUUAACUUCCCCAUAUCAACAGCCUUCUUCCUUUUCCAUCUAGACAUUUUCCCAAGUCUAGCAAAACCUAGGAAGGAUGGUUGCACCCCAGUUACAUGAGCUCAAAUCAGUUAACCAAUACUGUACAUCUUCCACCUAGUCAGGUGGCCUCCAGGCUCUAUAGCAGGCCCCUCAAUUGCCCAAAAUUGCCUGGGCCAACAAUUAGGCACCAAUUUAGUGGGUUGAAGUUCAGUAGAGUCAAUUGUAAAACAUUCUAAAAGUUCAAUAGAAUGUAUGACUUGCAAAUUGAGCUAAGGUUAUCUAAAUUUAAAAAUAAAAUGACAAAAAUAUAGAAACUAAACAUGGUAAAAAUGAAGAUGUUGAGAUGAAUCUGGUAAGUUACCAAAGAAAAAAAAAUUAAAGGAGGCAUAGACUUGUCACUGAGGACCAGGUGAUGGAGACCAGACUAAGAUGGUACAGACAUGAGAAACAAAGCCAAGGAGGCUUCUAUGAGCAGAAGUGCUUCGAUUGGGAUCAUCAGUAAAAGGAGGGGAAAGCUUGCAGCAAAACCAAAAUAAAAUCUUUGAUAGGAAUAUUGGCUAAGAAGAAUUCAUAAAUCGAACCCUCAUAUUUGGGAUAAGGCUUGCCAAUUAUGGUUAAUAUUGAAAAUAGCGUAUCCCAAUUCCCAAGCAUGUUCCCCUAUUACUCUUGGGCAAUUUAGACAUCAUUCUUCAUCCAGGUGAUGAAAUUCAGAAUUCAGAAGGCUGACUUUGGCAUUCAUUUUUAUAGCUACAGACUUUUCUUGCUACCUAUAUGUCCAUGGGAGGAAACUCUGAGGCAUUUGAAAUUCAAGUUUAGCUCUAUGUAUAAAUCUCUUUUUUGUAAACUUGUUCCUAAGUUAACAUUUUAUUUCAAAUAUCUACCAUUACUCUUCAACAUAUUAUAGCUAGGUUUAGAAUUUCUCACCAUGUCCCUGAAGCAUGUCUACAGACAUGGUAUGUUGUACUGGCCCGAAUCGAACGGUACGGAAAGUACCGUACCAUACCGGUUCUAUAUUGAUACCUGGUACGGAUAGUGUACCGAUACUCGGUACGUCAAAAAAUUUCGUACCGUACCGACACUGUGCUAGUGUGGCACCGGUACGGGUCCAUUACCGAAACAGCGAACCUUGUCUACAGAUUUUGCCUCCACAAGCUCAUUGUUAUCUAAAUGUGCAUUUAUUGCCAAGACAAGCAAAAACUAACUAGCAGCUUGAGAAAGUCAUGUUUUCUUUUGAACAAGUUUCGUCGUCUCAGUACAGGACCCCUGUACUGGUAACAUCUUAGUACAAUAUUGACAUACCCAAUAUGGGGGUCGGUUCAGCGUACUGACACUCGAUACACCCCUCAUGCAGUGUACCAAUUUGGUACUGGUAUAGUACGGUAUGCCUAGUAUGCACUAGUAGCAAUCGAUGCGGUGUGCCAUGAUUUUGCAGCUUUGCAGUGUAAAAUCUGUCUUUAGAAAGAUUUGGCAGCAAACAAAGAGGAUGGUGUAAAGCGUGUUUUGCAUCUUUUGGUCUCAAGGACUAUGGAAGUCAGGAACAAUUGAGGUUGUAUGAAAAGAAUAGAGUAAAGGGAAAAAUAUUUCAUCAGCAGAAGAAAAAUUGAUAUAGAAAGAGGACACAUAGGUUAAUAACUUAAGUAGGAUCAGGGCUUCAAUGUGAUAGAAUACAGUUAUGAGUUAUAAUCAAAGGAUUAAAUGAAAGAUGAUUAAAAGGUGUUGCACACUGAUCUGAUGUCAUAUCUGAAAAUAACACAAGGAAGAUGGAUUAAAAGGAGAGGUUGAAGAAGACUAUGAGAGAAAAAACAUUAAAAGGCAAAUAUCGGAUCUUGGAAGGAUAUCAGUUAUCAGAUUUUGAAUUUGGUGUCUUAGCAGCAAUAAAUAAUUAAGGGCCCUGCCCAGAUGCCCUGCUAAACUAUCCACCGAAUAUACCAUAUAUGGUGGAUGGCUUGGAAGAGGUAGGCAAGGGAGUUGGCAUGAUGGCGGGAAGGGGGGUGGGGAGGUGAUACUGGAAACUUUGGUUGUACAGCCUCAGAAAAACUGGAAUACUGGAAAUCAUCUCUCAGAAAGAACCCAGUAUCCUCAUUUUUCAGGAUCGUAUGGUCUACAAGGCUCCCUGAUUCCCCCAAUUUUUCCUACUGUGGCCACUGGCCACCUUUCUCUCUUGAAAAUUCGGUUCUGUGGAGAGUUAUUCCUGGAUAAUUAGUCCAGGCAUCCAAGCAGGGCCUAAAGAAAGAAUGGGCUAGAUGAAUAUAAGAAAGAGAAGAGAAGAGAAAAAGAUGGUUUGAACCAACCACUUUCAGAAUUUACAUAAAAAAUAACUCUAAUUUCAUAAUUCCUCCACAUUCAUACAAAACAACUUCCAAGACAAGCCUAGUUGCAAUUUUAUCAAACCAAAUAAUUCCUAACCUUAUUAGUAGUAAGAUUCUUUUCCUUGUAUCUAACUUAAAAUAAAAUUCAUAAUCAAAUGUGAGACCUUUUAUUUAAAAUAAUUCACUAACUUAUGGUUAUGGCUAUGAAUGACUCAUCUAGAGAGAGGAUGUAUUCAUCACUUUGACCAAAUAUAUAUCACUUUAUUUGAAGUGCAAUCACUUACCACCCUAAGCUUUUGAAAUUAUAACCUCCUUAACAAACAAGCAAAAAAACAAAUCAAAAACAGCAAACAUCAGCUCCCAAAAGAUGAUUAUUUUUGCAUUAAUUGAAUCAUUCUAAAUGCAUAAAAUAAUGUUGUCUGAACCCUGUAACAUUGUUCACAUAGUUUUCUAGAUUACCAUAUAAAUUGCAUCCCUCAAUUCUCAAUGCCUGUUACUCUGCUUUGUGUUUCUGCUUCCAUGUAACCAAAAACUUUGCUUGCUUGAUUGGGUAACAUACAAAAGCACAAAAAUAGAGCGAGCCAAUUUGCAAAAUUGUACAAUGGUCGCACAUGCAUUCAAUAUGUCAAGACUUAAUAAUUAUUGUGCUUGGGCUCAAAAUGCCAUUUCAAUCAUAUGAUUUUUGUUAUCUUUCAUGUCCCUAAGUUUGAUUUUAAUAGAUAUUACUCAUUUUCAUUUAAAACAUAAAUUUUUUGUUGGAUGGUUUUGAUGGAUAUUUGGUAAAAUGGCAUUAUCAUAAAAGCCACAAAUGUGCACCUCAUAAGCUAAAAUUACGAUUUAAAUCCCUGAGUACUAUGUUUUUUCAUGUCCUGCAUAUUCAAGCAUUCCCAGUAGUUGUGCUCCUAGAGGAGAUUCAAUUGGCUUUAUUUGAUGUUUCAGGCUUACCCCAUACUAACCUACCAAAUAAUAGCUACCAUCCCAUAUCCAUAUCCAUGUACACAAAAGCACAAUUCAUAUCCAUGUUAGACCAACAAGAAGCACUCAGAAAACAUAAAAGGUGACUUCAGAAGAGGACAAAUCAUACCUCUAACAACAUGGAUACUCUCUCCAGUCCGAGGGUUCCAUAUCCUCAAUGAUGCAUCAUCAGAGCCAGUACAAAUAAUCUUACCUUCAAAGAACCAUGAUGUGGAAGUUGAUCAGCCUCGUUUGGUAUUUUGGUUGUAAUGAAGAAACAUCAACAAUUUACCACAAUAUAUUUAAGUACCAUCAGGAGUAAAAGAACCACAGGUGACACUGCUACUAUGACCAGAGAAUGUAUUGAGCCAAGCACUUUUGUCAGCAUUCCACAUCCACACAUUUGAAUCUUCUGAGCCUCCUAUUAUCAAGUGUCCUCUUGGAUGCCAUUUGAGCCACUGAGCAGUUCGAGCAAAAGAAAAUUCAGAGCCAUACAAUUUAACAUUAAAAAAGCAAGCAAGAAAAUUUGAUAUAUGCCAUCAAGCAUUCAUAAAUCUCACCUCAAAACCUUCUCCAGAACCUUCAAGCGUACAUUUAAGACUACCUAGAGAUGUAUCCCAUACAUGUACAACUCCAUCCAAACCUCCAGAAGCAAGUAACUGCCCAUCAGAGCUGAAGGCUACUGUAGAGACAGUAUCUCGAUGACCUGAGUAUAAAGAGCAACAGAAUGAAAAACUACAGUGAUACUGAUCUGAUUCCUACAUGAAAUGCAUGGGUGCAAGCAUUUGGAAGCAUUUACAUCCAUAUAACAGAGUCUAUGAAACAAGAACAAAUCUUAUUUGAGAUAGAGCACCCAGUUAUGGUCCAAUACAAUAUACAUUGUGAAAAACUAGAGUGCUUAUGGCAUAUCCCAGUAGCAGUGAAAGAUUAGAAAAUUUGAACCCAGCAAGAAGAGUACUAAUGGAAUAUUCCAGUAGCUACCACUAGGAUGACUCCACCACAAUCAGGAAAGUCGAUAUCCCAGUCCAGGAGACUUGAAUGACAACUUCAAUCAAGAUCCGAAGCUGAUGUAGAAUAUUGAGACUGAGUUACUUUCUAUAUUUCAUGAUAUAUUGUAGAUAUAAGGAUGAUAUAUGCUACCCCGAACAAAUCAUGAUUUUUCAUAUAUUAUGAAGAGAAUCCGAUGAUUGGUAGGAUUGACAGCUAGUAGUUGUAGGCAAAGCUUCAUAAGCCAGGAUUGCCUCCUCAACCGGCCAAGUUUAAAGCAAGGAAAGUCCAGGUGGAUGCACAACAAUAGAUAGAAUGAAACAUGCCACACUCACAUUUUGCCGAGCAACCAUGGAGGUCAAAGGAGAACAGGUCAUCAUUGCAGAGCUCCAUCUGAGAUAUCUUUUUUGACAGAGAUAUUUGACUAGAUAUUUUGGUCUAGUCAAGCAGGUAGGUCAAUGAUGGGCCCAAUCAAGCCACCCAAUAGAGCCAAGUAGGCAAGAGCAUCCAAGAAAAAGAAAGCAGUUUCUUAAAUCAACAAGGGAUAGGAAAGGAAACUACAGUUCCAUUGUAGAGAGUGGAUGAAGAGUUUGUUCACUUCGAUUCCCAAACUUGUGACCCUUAGAUAACCAGUUGCCUAGAUCAUCUUGCGAAACCAACGAUGAUAAUAAUGAUAAUUCAACCAAUAAUGGGGAAAGGGAGAAGGGGAGGGAGNNNNNNNNNNNNNNNNNNNNNNNNNNNNNNNNNNNNNNNNNNNNNNNNNNNNNNNNNNNNNNNNNNNNNNNNNNNNNNNNNNNNNNNNNNNNNNNNNNNNNNNNNNNNNNNNNNNNNNNNNNNNNNNNNNNNNNNNNNNNNNNNNNNNNNNNNNNNNNNNNNNNNNNNNNNNNNNNNNNNNNNNNNNNNNNNNNNNNNNNNNNNNNNNNNNNNNNNNNNNNNNNNNNNACGCCCUCCCUCCACUCUCUCCUCACCUCCUCCCACCUCCUCCCCUCCCUUCCUCCCUCUCCCUCCCUCCCUCCCUUCCUCUCCCUCUCCCUCUCUCUCUUUUCCCCUCUCUCCCUCUCUUUUCCCCUCUCCCCCUCCCUCUCCGACUUUUGGCUGUCGAUAAAGCCCAAAAAGGCACGACACAGGAGUGUGUCAUACUAUCAAGCAACCGAUAUGGAUACUAGUACCAGUACAACCAACCUUGAUAGGGACCAUGGUACAUGACCUAGUACAACGUGCAAGGAUAGAUUGCAUAUAAGAGAUGAGCCCCUCAUGUGGUUUGGGACAUGGCACUACAAAUGAUCUCGUGGAUAGAGUAGGGUCCCUAAACGUGUCCGGAUUGAAGUCGUACACCAAAUCUUACUUCACAUAGUCAAACUAUGACCUGUAUGGAUAUCCUUCAUCUGAGGCAUCAUAUUCGAGUGGCUAUUACCCUCCACAUCUUUAGGCAACUUACGGGUCAGAUUUUGUUAUCUUAAUCUUUGCAUGACCAGUCCAGUAUCAGAAACAGAAUCAGUAUCCGGGUGGUCAUCCAAGGGCAAAGAUUAUGGAUCACAGGACUGGGACUAUAGUAUGCCGUACCAGCCCAAACCGUACCGUACCGGUUCUGUACCGGUACCGGUAUAGGUGGCAUACCAACACUCGAUAUGCCAAAAAAAAUUUAUACCAUACCGUACCAACACUAUGCUAGUGUGGCACCGAUACGGAGUUUGGUACCAAGACGGCGAACCUUGACUGGGACACAAAUUAUUUGAAAAGUUGGAGUAAUAUCUCAGGCCCAGACUAUGACCAGGAUCCCAGCGUCUACAAGCAACACAGGCACUCCACAUAAUUUUAGAUGUUGGUACCUAUUUUGUACUUCAAAUCCAUUUGAUAUAUUGUAUGCAUAUUCAUUAUAUCUACUCAUGCAUUAAAUUAUAUUACAAUUGCAUUAAUUUAUCGAUUAUAGCAUGUUUAUCUAGACUUGGGACCAAUCUGACAUAAAAGACAUAAAAAUAACAUUGAAAUCUUAAAUUAAACAACCACAAUCAUUAAAAUAAUCAGUAAAAAUAACAAAAAAAUUAAAGAACAAAACACUGGGAAACGGCAUACUAAUAUGAAACCGGAACACCCUUUAUACCAUGUACUAGUACAACACCAAACCCAUAACAUACUGUACCAGUCACCGACCGAUACAACACCUAGUAUUGAUUUGGUGGACCUUGAAUAGCAGAGCUGCAAAAUAGUGCAAUUUAGACAACAAACCAGGCAAGAGUACCACGUUGACAAAAAAGCGAAAUAUACACUCCCCAUAUGGAAUAAUAUUGUAGAAUGAUAUCCACAUAGUAACAUGAUCAAGGUUAUAAAGGAUCAAAUAUGUAUCAACCACGAGUGGGUACAACAUGCGGCGUAUCAAGGAUCAUACCAAAAAAGGAUACUGAUGGGUAUGCAUUGAUCCAAAUACCAUUAGGACAUUUUUAGCCUCCUAACUCUAGUAUUGGAUUUUUUUAGCAUGUUUUCUUAUCCAAAUGCUAUGUUCUUGCAAGAAAUAAGAUAGUACCAGGUUAAAUGCCCCAGUCAAGGUUCUUCAUGCGCUAUAUGUGCAUAAAUAUCAACUUGCCAACUAAAAUACAUUAAGAGAUAUUGUGUUACCAUUAGCAAUUGGAAUGAAAGCAGAGAAAAAAGUUUAUAUUCAUAACAUAACAAUAGCAGCACCUACAACCCAAAAUCACUCAAGUGAUCAUGUACUUGGACUAAGUUAAUUAUCCAAACGCAGCUUUUACCAAUAUUUUAUAAAUCUUCAAAACGUUUUAGCCUCUUCAAGUGCUAGUUCGUUAAUAUGCACCCCUUAGAGCAUUGACCUAAUUUCAAUUUACGAUCUCUUCUAUUUUGAUAAUUUGACAGCAUUUUUUAAGCAUAUAAACAUUUUUAAUUAAUAAAAAAAUAGAUAAUUUUGCAAUUUAUGAUAUUUCAGGCCUUGCCUGGCUGGAACCUAAGCACGUACAAUUCAUGCCAAUUGUGGAUUAAAUUUUGGUAGCAUGCAUGUAUCACUAGUGCAGAAAUAGUUGUAGAUUGGUCAACCUAGUAUGAAACCCUUUGUAGCAACAGAUCCCUCUUACUCUUGCUUCCACCUUCAAAUGGUGAGGAACAGAUUGGUCAACCUAAUAUGAGAACCUUUAUAGCAAUUGGUCCCUCUUCCUCUUGUUUCCACCUUCAAAUGGUGAGGGGAAACAAAAAAGAGAGACAAUCACCCUUAAACCACUUCCCAAGCUGACCCAAGUGUGCCACUUGGUUUGAGAGUGGACCGAGGUCAAAUAAGCAUGAACUGAUUGAUACACCCAGAACUGCUCUAUACACCUUCAAUAUAGGCAGUUUGGACAGCUUUCAUCCAAAUCAAACCUCCCUAUAUCAAGGAAGCCCUGGUACAGUAUGUUCCAAGAGGUACAUGUCAAACUGCUCAGUAAUACCAUAGAUUAACAACUUAACUUAAUCAACAUGCUUCUCCCUGUUAUAUGAGGUCAGAUUAAAGGAGAAAGUUUUGUGAUCAAUCAAAGCCUAAGAAAGCUUAAUGGUUGGUUCUCAAACUUCUAGCAGAUCAUAAACCCUUUGAAUCAAUGUUGAAUUUCUCGACAACGCAUUUCUGAACAAAAAAUAAACUUGUCUCAAAACCUGAAAAACCAAUUGAUGGGCAUGGACUACCUUAUUUCUAAGCAGUAUAAAUCCAUGAAAACACCAAACAACCUUCAAAGUACCUCUACUCUUCCAACUUCCAAAGAGCCUUGUCAUAGAGGGAAAAAGAUGAAAAUUAAUGUAAGGAAUUGCAUUCAUCUUUGCAACAGAAACUACGAGCCAAAUACCAAUUGAGUCAGAAUCCCAAUACAUAGCGACCAUACGAAUUCAUGAUUCAUAGAAUCUGUUUGCCAAAAGACCACAAUUUUCAGAGGGAAUCAUGUCAAAAAUAAGAUUUUCCUCCAACGACUUCAAUGAUUCAACUCAACAAUUCAAUCAUAUCAGAGGGGAAAAAAAAUGCCACACCAUUUGCAUAUAAAAAAACAAGACAGCACUAGGGGCCUAAUAAAGCAUGAGGCAGCAAAUGUAUGCAAAAUACCAGAAAAUAACUGAUUCAGUAUAUGAAUACAGACACCUAACCAAAUCAUUUUUCAAUUCACAAAUUUAAAUGUGAAGACCUAAUCUGUCAGAGUUACCUUUUGAUACCUAAAAUAAGAAUAUUAGUAUCAAUUUCUUCUCAAGUUAUAUUGAUUACAGCUAUACACAUUUUUAUACGUCAAUUAAGCAUGGUGUUGGCAACUAACAGACUACAAAGAGCAGGUACCUGAGCAUGGCAACAAUUAUAUGUAUAAUACAAAAUUUGGGUUUUUAAACAUGUCUGACUACUUGGAUACUUCAUGACACUUCUUCACACUUCAAGCUAGUGAAACAGGAUGUCAUCAAAGUUUCAUAUCAAAUCUAGCAUUUAUACCUAAAAGUAAUCAGUCUAAUGUGAAAAUCAGCAAAAGUUACAUCAAUUCUAUGAAACUACAAAACAAUAGGUCCAAAAAAUUAUCAAUUAUUCUCUAAAAAUACAUCAAUUAUAAAAAUUAAUCUGUGAUCUUUACAGACACAUCUAUGUAAUAUGGAUGCAUCCCGUGGCCGGAUGUUGAAGGUUUCCAUGUUCAAGUGUUCUGGAGACUUGGCCACUUGACACCUGGAUCACGUGUGCAGGUAAAUUUUGACAAAGACAUAAAGAUUUGCUUGUAGAAAUAAGUGAUUAACUUAAUACUCAGAUGAAGAAGCAAUCUUUCAAACAGUAUUCCUGAUUUGACACAAUGAAAUCCAUUGUAAGAUCCGUCAGUUAGAAAUAGUACAAUACCCUCAUUCAAAGGUUUCAAACUUCAAAGAGUAGAAAAGAAAGCUAUUAGUGCAUCAGGAAUGGAGAUGUUGCCAGUGACAAAUCAUUUUCCUAAAGUUCAUAGAGAGAGCAAAAAGAAAUUGCCUGCAACAAAUCAUGUUCCUAGAGUUUAUUGAGGAAAGCAAAAAAAAUAAAUAAGCCAAGUUUCCAUUGCAGAAACACGUCUGACUUAUAGAACAAACCUUGGAGCUCUAGACCUGGAUCUGCAGAACUAAUCUUCCACAAAAAUCCUCUAUCAUCCUUACCCCCUGUAGCCACAAGAGAUGCAUCUGUUGGACUGCAAGCGACGGUGUAGAGUUCAUCUACAUCAAACAGAUGUAGCAGUCAGAAAAUUUUACAAGUUGUUUUAAAUUAUUUUUAUUUCAGCAAAUAGAAGGCUAACAGAAGCACUACAAAGCAGAAACAAGCAUGGCUUCUCAGAAUCAAUCAAAAAAGAGCCUAAUGAAGUUGUGAAAACAAAACCAGUUUUCAGGUUAAAACCAGUGCAAACCAAAUAUGAUGCAUAAGAACAGCAAAAUGGAACAUCCAAAGGGAAUCUGGUUUAGUCAACUUAAGCAGACCAAUCCCCGGACAAAAUAUUUCACUGUGCACACUUAUUAAUAAUGAUUAUAAAAACAACUAACACCAUUAGUUUUAUCCCCUUCCGUUUCCAUGUAUUUGUUUUUUUUUUUGUUCCUUAAACCAUACCAAGUGACUUAGUUAACUAGUCUAAAUUCCAUUGACGUUAUGCUUUAAUAAGAAAAUGUACAGUUUUUUAUGGUCUGAUAACUAGAGAUUAAACUCCUUAAGAAGAAAUGAUAGAUAACAUGUUAUCAGAGUUGUCACCUGUAUUAGCCAAACCACUCAGUUUAGCCUGAAGUACCUAAAAUGUUAUAGGACUUGUCACCUGUGUUAGCCAAAUCACUCAAUUUAGCCGAAAGUACCUGAACUUAAUACUCAAACACAAA
This 42844-nucleotide long non-coding RNA is filed under the name Phoenix dactylifera (date palm). RNAcentral's name for it is "long non-coding RNA (PDAC_LNC002774)". Lineage: Eukaryota; Viridiplantae; Streptophyta; Magnoliopsida; Arecales; Arecaceae. The record is from RNAcentral.